GCGACCCCAGGAUGGGCGAGGCCACCCGCCGAGUUUAAGCAUAUCAAUAAGCGGAGGAGAAGAAACU
RNAcentral lists this ribosomal RNA (67 nucleotides) under Maxillaria schlimii. RNAcentral describes it as "partial 26S ribosomal RNA". It matches the Rfam family "Eukaryotic large subunit ribosomal RNA", at positions 1 to 66 of the family's 3401-position model. Lineage: Eukaryota; Viridiplantae; Streptophyta; Magnoliopsida; Asparagales; Orchidaceae. RNAcentral also lists the same sequence under 2 other names. The record is from RNAcentral.